UCCAUCAUAAGGCGCCGACCAGUCACGGCAGGCCCAGGAGCAAAACUCGAUGCCUCGCCGCGAGUCUUUGAGGUAAUCCAGGUAACCCGAAUCCCAGUCCAGGCAUUCUGUGUUAGUCUGCUGCUGGUGCAUCGGGCUUUCAGGGGACAGGGGGCGUGAGCUGGAAGGACCCGACUGAGGAGGCUCCAUGCUGGUGGGGGUAGAGGAACCCCCUCCUCCUGAUCCACCUCCGCUGCUCUGUUGGCGGAUGAAGAAGGCUAAGCGGGACGGGGUGCUGGGUCUGGGUGGGACUGGAGACUCUGAGCUGGGACUGCUUACUGCUGUCGGAUUAAAGUACAGAGAAAAAGUGAUCACAUAAGGGAUACAAAAAACACAUCACACUAAGUUUGUCUUGACUUCAUAUUACAUUAAUGUGUAGACAUUUGCCAGCAGGUGAGCACUUAAUUGAUAUUUUGUGCUCUUGAGUUACUUAAUUGAAUCUGUUGUUUCCACACAGGUGUUUGUUGCUCACCUUUUGCCCAUAAUGCAUUGUCCUCGUCCCGCUCAGCAGAGGUCGCUGGGUUCAGCCGGCAGCACUCUGGGAUCAGCGACAGGAACUUGUCUGCUGACUUUCCGUACAGUGUGUCCAGGAUGGUGUCGUUGUCGUGGCAAUGCAGCAGGAUGAAGCGCAGGAAGGUUUUGAGGAGGGACGUCUCGGACACGCUGCGCAGGAAAAGGUCCAGCGCGGGGCCCAUGACGGGCACGAGGAAGCCGUUGUGGAGGUAGUCCAGCAGCUGGGAGCGGACCAGGGGGUGAGCCACCUGCACCACGGCGUUACAGAACUCCAGCGAGUUCAUGAACAGCACGAUAGACGAGACGCCCAUCCAGUCCUCCCGCCGCAGGGCGUGCCAGUCGUCUCCUCGAACCUCAAUCUUCCUGGGCAGAGAGGAGUAGAGAGCGCUGAGGCCUGUCGCCAACACCUGGGGAGGGGAGGAGAAGAUUCAGAUGAGACAGCUGUGGGUCAGCAGGUGCAGCCCUCGUGUACAAAUAUAGGUUUAUCCUUAAAACAAAAUGGGUUUUCCACUCUCCAGAUUUAAAAAAUGUAAAAGUAAAAAAACUAAAAUAAACCUUAUUCAACACAACCCGAGACAAUAAAUCGUUGAAUCGAUUGUCAUUUUGUCAAUCACACUUUUUAGGGUUUUGUAGGAGCGUAAUUUAAUUAGUCACGAGGGCCUUUGUGAUGGGUAAUAAUUAACAAUGAUCAGACUUUUCAUAGACGAAAUUAUUAAUUUAUUAUCAAAUGAACAAUCAGCAGAUCAAAGUCAGUUGCAACCCUAUUAGAUCCCUAGAUAAGUCCUGUUUAUCCCUUGAUAGAUCCCCAUUAGACAUCAGAAAUGUCACGUUUAUAUCAUGUGAAACACAUUUUGUUUUCACAACAACUACCAACCGCAGGAUAUGUAAUAGCUCACUUGAGCAAAACAACCUGCCAGUAUCCAAUAGACUUCACCCAGACCUUUCAAGUAUUACUAGUCAUCAACAAUUCAAAACUAAAGUAAAAACAAUUAUAUUUGCAGAUUACUCCAGCUAACAAGUAUUGGAUAUUCCCAGUAUUACUUAUAUAUGCAUUUACUUUUUUCUUGCCCUAACUUUUAUUUUUUUCCAGUUUUCAUUAGUUUUCUUUAUACUCCUUAAUUUCUAUACAUUUUUGACGAAAUAAAUGCCAUUAUUAUAUUGAUGCUAAUGAUGAUGCACGGGAGGGCUACUCCCCCCCCAUAAGCUAUGCUUCAGCCCUCCCGCUUCUACUAAUUUUGUUCAUUUGUGUGUAUGAAUUAUACGUUUUUGUUUUUGUAUGAUUUUAGUAGAAUAAAUACAUUUGAGUAUGUAUAGAUAGAAAUGUUGGUACCACUUUACAAUAAGACUACCCUUAUAAAAGGGUUUACGAAUAGUUUGUAAUUCAUUUAUUAAUUAGGUUGUGAACACUUUACAAGUCAUUAAUAAGCUUUUAUAAGA
Gymnodraco acuticeps is the source of this 1989-nucleotide long non-coding RNA. RefSeq lists it as uncharacterized. NCBI's taxonomy places the organism in Eukaryota, Metazoa, Chordata, Actinopteri, Perciformes, Bathydraconidae. The record is from RefSeq and is a predicted model, not a curated record. The transcript is spliced from 3 exons.